GUAAACAUAGUUUAAAUAAAACCCUAGAUUGUGAUUCUAGAAAUGAGGGAUGAUAUCCCUCUGUUCACC
Molecule: transfer RNA, 69 nt
Filed under: Nanorana taihangnica (Taihangshan swelled-vented frog)
Lineage: Eukaryota; Metazoa; Chordata; Amphibia; Anura; Dicroglossidae
Description: tRNA-His
Rfam family: tRNA
About the family: Transfer RNA (tRNA) molecules are approximately 80 nucleotides in length. Their secondary structure includes four short double-helical elements and three loops (D, anti-codon, and T loops).
Source: RNAcentral